UACGAAGGGGGCUAGCGUUGCUCGGAUUCACUGGGCUUAAAGGGCGCGUAGGCGGACUCGCCAGUCUGUGGUGAAAGCCCCCAGCUUAACUGGGGAAGUGCCGUGGAUACUGCGAGUCUGGAGGAGGGUAGGGGCAUCUGGAACGCUGGGUGGAGCGGUGAAAUGCGUUGAUAUCCAGCGGAACUCCGGUGGCGAAGGCGAGGUGCUGGACCCUUUCUGACGCUGAGGCGCGAAAGCCAGGGGAGCAAACGGG
This 253-nucleotide ribosomal RNA is filed under the name uncultured bacterium. RNAcentral's name for it is "partial 16S ribosomal RNA". It matches the Rfam family "Bacterial small subunit ribosomal RNA", at positions 524 to 776 of the family's 1533-position model. The record is from RNAcentral.